UUGGAUUGUAGGCUGAAACUCGCCUACAUGAAGCUGGAAUUGCUAGUAAUCACAGGUCAGCAUACUGUGGUGAAUACGUUCCCGGGCCUUGUACACACCGCCCGUCACACCAUGAGAGUUGAGAAUACCCGAAGCCCAUAUCAAAGUGGUCGAAGGUAGGCUUGAUGAUUGGGGUGAAGUCGUAACAAGGUAAC
Molecule: ribosomal RNA, 194 nt
Filed under: uncultured bacterium
Lineage: Bacteria
Description: partial 16S ribosomal RNA
Rfam family: Bacterial small subunit ribosomal RNA
Source: RNAcentral